Molecule: ribosomal RNA, 958 nt
Filed under: Oryza ridleyi
Lineage: Eukaryota; Viridiplantae; Streptophyta; Magnoliopsida; Poales; Poaceae
Description: eukaryotic LSU rRNA
Rfam family: Eukaryotic large subunit ribosomal RNA
Source: RNAcentral
CCCCAGGUCAGGCGGGACUACCCGCUGAGUUUAAGAAAAUAAAUAAGCGGAGGAGAAGAAACUUACGAGGAUUCCCCUAGUAACGGCGAGUGAACUGAGAGAUGCCCAGCUUGAGAAUCAAGCAGCCGCGCUGCUCGAAUUGUAGUCUAGAGAGGUGUCCUCAGCGACGGACCAGGCCCAAGUCCCCUAGAAAGGGGCGCCUGGGAGGGUGAGAGCCCUGUCUGGCCCAGACCCUAUCGCCCCACGAGGCGCUGUCAACGAGUCGGGUUGUUUGGGAAUGCAGCCCAAAUCAGGCGGUAAACUCUGUCCAAGGCUAAAUAUAGGCGAGAGACCAAUAGUGAACAAGUACUGCGAGGGAAAGAUGAAAAGGACUUUGAAAAGAGAGUCAAAGAGUGCUUGAAAUUGCCAGGAGGGAAUCGGAUGGUAGCCGACGAUGCGCCUUGGUUGUAUGCGGAACGGCUUCGGCUGGUCCGCCAAUUGGCUCAGGGCGUGGACUGUUGUUGGUCACGUCAGCAACUGAAUCCUGGGAGCACAGUGCCCCUGGUAGCCAUCGUCGGCGCAGCCGGUCACCACAUGCCUCUGGCGUGCCCCUCGAGGCACUGUGACGCAACGGCCUGCGGGCUCCCCAUCCAACCCGUCUUGAAACACGGACCAAGGAGUCUGACAUGCGUGCAAGUCGAUGAGUCCUAAAACCUGGGAUGCACAAGGAAGCUGACGAGUGGGAGGCCCUCGCGGGCAGCACCGCUAGCCGACCCUGAUCUUCUGUGAAGGGUUUGAGUUGGAGCACGCCUAUCGGGACCCGAAAGAUGGUGAACUAUGCCUGAGCAGGGUGAAGCCAGAGGAAACUCUAGUGAAGGCUCGAAGCGAUACUGACGUGUAAAUCAUUCGUCUGACUUGGGUAUAGGGGCGAAAGACUAAUCGAACCAUCUAGUAGCUGGUUCCCUCCGAAGUUUCCCUC